RNAcentral lists this small nuclear RNA (137 nucleotides) under Pyramimonas parkeae. RNAcentral's name for it is "partial Dictyostelium signal recognition particle". Lineage: Eukaryota; Viridiplantae; Chlorophyta; Pyramimonadophyceae; Pyramimonadales; Pyramimonadaceae. The record is from RNAcentral.
GGGUCCACGGCAUCUCCAUUUUUGUUGUCGGGAGCGGCUGGAAUGCUUUGUGGGGUGGCAGGAACAUUUGGCGCAAACCCCACAGAUGUUGUAAAGGUCCGCAUGCAAAAUAACUCAAAGGAUGAAACGGACUCUGA